This 535-nucleotide ribosomal RNA is filed under the name uncultured bacterium. Its description in RNAcentral is "bacterial SSU rRNA". It matches the Rfam family "Bacterial small subunit ribosomal RNA", at positions 127 to 677 of the family's 1533-position model. The record is from RNAcentral.
UGCCUCAUACAGGGGGAUAACAGUUAGAAAUGGCUGCUAAUACCGCAUAAGACCACAGUACUGCAUGGUACAGGUGGUAAAAACUCCGGUGGUAUGAGAUGGACCCGCGUCUGAUUAGGUAGUUGGUGAGGUAACGGCCCACCAAGCCGACGAUCAGUAGCCGACCUGAGAGGGUGACCGGCCACAUUGGGACUGAGACACGGCCCAGACUCCUACGGGAGGCAGCAGUGGGGAAUAUUGCACAAUGGGCGAAAGCCUGAUGCAGCGACGCCGCGUGAAGGAUGAAGUAUUUCGGUAUGUAAACUUCUAUCAGCAGGGAAGAAAAUGACGGUACCUGACUAAGAAGCCCCGGCUAACUACGUGCCAGCAGCCGCGGUUAAUACGUAGGGGGCAGGCGUUAUCCGGAUUUACUGGGUGUAAAGGGAGCGUAGACGGCUGUGCAAGUCUGAAGUGUAAAGGCAUGGGCUCAACCUGUGGACUGCUUUGGAAACUGUGCAUCUAGAGUGUCGGAGAGGUAAGUGGAAUUCCUAGUGUA